Molecule: small RNA, 121 nt
Filed under: unclassified sequences
Description: LOOT RNA
Rfam family: LOOT RNA
About the family: Latescibacteria, OD1/Parcubacteria, OP11, TM7.
Source: Rfam by way of RNAcentral
UGCCUAAACCAUACGGCUAACCGGAUGGCAUGGCACAAAACCAUAGUGGGUACUGAUCCCGUCGUUCAGCAUCCCACUAUGGUCGUACGUCGAAAGGCGUAUGGGUGGCCGAAAGGCUGCC